AUGCUGUCACUGCACACAACUUUCUCUACUAUUACUCUACUGUACAUCAUAACAGGUGUCCGCUGUGAAGAACUCACUCCAGUAAAGGAUGAAGAGUCCAGUUUAGAAGAGAGCACUGUUACUCUGUCCUACACAUACAACAAACAAGCAACUGGUAGUGAUUAUUUCUUCUGGUAUCGACAAUAUCCAGGAAAACCACCAGAGUUCCUCAUCUCUCACUCUGGUUCAGGAAAUGUAGGACAGGAACAAAUCCCUGGACUGAAGAUUAAAGUGGAGCAAAACCAAAUAGAUAUGAACAUCUCCUCUGCUGCAGUGACAGACUCUGCUGUGUACUACUGUGCUGUGAAGCCCACAGUGACAGGAAACACCAAAACUCUGUACAAAAACCUGACAGCUCCUCACUGAAGAUUUACACACUCCAGCUUCUGCUUUUACUGAAAAACAGCCCCAUCAAGUGGACACUGAUAAUAAGAUCCAGUGAUAAAAUAAAUAGUUAUUCAGUUAACAGUCUGUCUUAAAACAACAUUCACAUGUUCAUAUGUACAUUAAAACAUGAUUCUUUCUGUAAUCAUUCCUCCUGUUCAUACUGGUCUUUAAAAGAUAUUUUCCUGAUGUGAAUUCCAUCCUAGUGAUGGGGGACAAACUCCAUAGUCCUCAUUCUGUACAGAAAUAUAUUCCAAAGUUCAGUUCAAGGUAAUAUGAUGAUUCAGCAGUCUGAGUUACACAAAAAAAGAUACCAUCUAAAUCUUUUUGUGCAGAGGCAAUUUCAUGUUAAAAAGUCUUAAACUUUAGAAGAAACCCACUGGAUCUAACUGCUGAAGUCUCAUAUUAACUUCAACUGUGUUAUCAGUUGAGAGGAAUCCAUCAUCCUCUGUGAACCAUGAAUAUCUGGAUAAAAGCUCAUGACAAUCCAUUCAGCAGUUUCUGAGAUAUUUCACUGCUGAAUAUAAAUGAGAUGUAAAUGUUGAGAGUUCCUCAGCAGAUGAUAAAGAGGAAGGACCAAUGAUGUGAAGGCCCAGAUCCAUCAGAGUAUCAAUGUUCUUCCUCUCUCUCCUCCCCUCUCACUGCAGACAUGAAACACUGGCUGAGAAACAUCCUGAUUCUGACUCUCUGGCUAGGUAACUCUUUAAACCUACUGAUUGUUCUCCUUUAAUCAAUCAUCUUUAU
This 1167-nucleotide long non-coding RNA is filed under the name Dicentrarchus labrax (European seabass). RNAcentral's name for it is "lncRNA (ENSDLAG00005028387.1)". Lineage: Eukaryota; Metazoa; Chordata; Actinopteri; Moronidae. The record is from RNAcentral.